CGCCCGGACCCGGAUCCCGUGGGGGGAAUCCGUUCCGGGGAUAUGGGAAGCGCCCCGCUCGCCGAC
RNAcentral lists this non-coding RNA (66 nucleotides) under Streptomyces sp. CB03234. Its description in RNAcentral is "Streptomyces RNA 2736". It matches the Rfam family "Streptomyces RNA 2736". From Rfam's summary of the family: Identified by deep sequencing of transcriptome at the end of exponential growth phase. Lineage: Bacteria; Bacillati; Actinomycetota; Actinomycetes; Kitasatosporales; Streptomycetaceae. RNAcentral also lists the same sequence under 1 other name. The record is from Rfam by way of RNAcentral.